This 262-nucleotide ribosomal RNA is filed under the name uncultured bacterium. RNAcentral describes it as "partial 16S ribosomal RNA". It matches the Rfam family "Bacterial small subunit ribosomal RNA", at positions 90 to 354 of the family's 1533-position model. The record is from RNAcentral.
CAUGAGUGGCGGACGGGUGAGUAACGCGUGGGCAACCUGGCCUGUACAGGGGGAUAACACUUAGAAAUAGGUGCUAAUACCGCAUAACGGGGGAAGCCGCAUGGCUUUUCCCUGAAAACUCCGGUGGUACAGGAUGGGCCCGCGUCUGAUUAGCCAGUUGGCAGGGUAACGGCCUACCAAAGCGACGAUCAGUAGCGGCCUGAGAGGGCGGACGGCCACACUGGGACUGAGACACGGCCCAGACUCCUACGGAAGGCAGCAG